Molecule: ribosomal RNA, 335 nt
Filed under: uncultured bacterium
Lineage: Bacteria
Description: bacterial SSU rRNA
Rfam family: Bacterial small subunit ribosomal RNA
Source: RNAcentral
CGCUGAGGACGUAGCUUGCUAUUGAAUCUUGUUUAGCUUAGUGGCGGACGGGUGAGUAACGCGUGAGCAACCUACCUUUCAGAGGGGGAUAACGUUUGGAAACGAACGCUAAUACCGCAUGAUAUUAUUGGGCAGCAUUGCCUGAUAAUCAAAGGAGCAAUCCGCUGAAAGAUGGGCUCGCGUCCGAUUAGGUAGUUGGCGGGGUAACGGCCCACCAAGCCGACGAUCGGUAGCCGGACUGAGAGGUUGAACGGCCACAUUGGGACUGAGACACGGCCCAGACUCCUACGGGAGGCAGCAGUGAGGGAUAUUGGUCAAUGGGGGAAACCCUGAAC